Macaca fascicularis (crab-eating macaque) is the source of this 117-nucleotide unclassified non-coding RNA. It matches the Rfam family "Metazoan signal recognition particle RNA". From Rfam's summary of the family: The signal recognition particle (SRP) is a universally conserved ribonucleoprotein. It is involved in the co-translational targeting of proteins to membranes. The record is from Ensembl. NCBI's taxonomy places the organism in Eukaryota, Metazoa, Chordata, Mammalia, Primates, Cercopithecidae.
GCUGGGCAUGGUGGCUCAUGCCUGUAAUCCUAGCACUUUGGGAGGCUGAGGCAGGUGGAUCACCUGAGGUCAGGAGUUUGAGACCAGCCUGGCCAACAUGGUGAAAACCCGUCUCUA